AUUGAACGCUGGCGGCAUGCCUUACACAUGCAAGUCGAACGGCAGCGGGCCUUCGGGUGCCGGCGAGUGGCGAACGGGUGAGUAAUGCAUCGGAACGUGCCAUUGAGUGGGGGAUAACGUAGCGAAAGUUACGCUAAUACCGCAUAUUCUGUGAGCAGGAAAGCAGGGGACCGCAAGGCCUUGCGCUCUUUGAGCGGCCGAUGUCAGAUUAGCUAGUUGGUGAGGUAAAGGCUUACCAAGGCGACGAUCUGUAGCGGGUCUGAGAGGAUGAUCCGCCACACUGGAACUGAGACACGGUCCAGACUCCUACGGGAGGCAGCAGUGGGGAAUUUUGGACAAUGGGCGCAAGCCUGAUCCAGCCAUGCCGCGUGAGUGAAGAAGGCCUCGGUUGGUUAAAGGAC
This 401-nucleotide ribosomal RNA is filed under the name uncultured bacterium. RNAcentral's name for it is "bacterial SSU rRNA". It matches the Rfam family "Bacterial small subunit ribosomal RNA", at positions 30 to 433 of the family's 1533-position model. The record is from RNAcentral.